This 309-nucleotide ribosomal RNA is filed under the name uncultured eukaryote. RNAcentral's name for it is "partial 18S ribosomal RNA". It matches the Rfam family "Eukaryotic small subunit ribosomal RNA", at positions 1470 to 1796 of the family's 1831-position model. The record is from RNAcentral.
CCCUUAGAUGUUCUGGGCGGCCCGCGCACUACAUUGGCACUAGCAAAGAGAUCCUAGAUUGAAUUCUUUGGGGUAUUCUUCUAAAUGGUGUCGUGACUGGGAUAAAUCCUUGUAAUUAUUGGUUUUGAACGAGGAAUUCCUUGUAAUCGCGGUUUAUCAGCUCGCGUUGAAUGCGUCCCUGCCCUUUGUACACACCGCCCGUCGCUCCUACCGAUGGAUCGUCCGGUGAAGCUCACGGAGUGACUGUUCACGCAACGGUUUACGAAGUGAAAUGGACCUAACGAUUUAGAGGAAGGAGAAGUCGUAACA